ACCGUAUGUCUACAAGCAGUCGGAGCGAAAGCGACGGCGUGCCUAUUGAAGAAUGAACCAACGAGUUACGUGCACUAGCGAGGUUAAGUGGAAGACACGGAGCCGAAGCGAAAGCGAGUCUUAAGAGGGCGGAUAGUUAGUGUACGUAGACCCGAAACCGCAGUGAUCUACCCAUGUCCAGGUUGAAGCGCAGGUAAAAUUGCGUGGAGGACCGAACCUGUGAGCGUUGAAAAGCUUUAGGAUGAGAUGUGGGUAGAGGUGAAAUUCCAAUCGAACGCGGAGAUAGCUGGUUCUCCCCGAAAUAGCUUUAGGGCUAGCCUCAAGUAGUAAGUAUAGGCGGUAGAGCACUGAUCGGGCUAGGGGCCAUAAAGGUUACCGAACCCUGUCAAACUCCGAAUGGUUAUACUGUAGAGCUUGGGAGUCAGACUACGAGUGAUAAGAUCCGUGGUCAAAAGGGAAACAGCCCAGACCACCAGCUAAGGUCCCCAAUGUCGUACUAAGUGGAAAAGGAUGUGGGGUCUCUAAAACAACCAGGAUGUUGGCUUAGAAGCAGCCACCAUUUAAAGAGUGCGUAAUAGCUCACUGGUCGAGAGACCCUGCGCCGAAGAUUACCGGGGCUAAAGUACGAAACCGAAGCUGUGGCUACGACUUAGGUCGUGGGGUAGGGGAGCGUUCUGUGAGGGCUGAAGUCGUUCUGUAAGGAACGGUGGACUUCACAGAAGUGAGAAUGUUGGUAUGAGUAGCGAAAAGAAUGGUGAGAAUCCAUUCCACCGAAAGCAUAAGGAUUCCUGGGCAACGAUCGUCGUCCCAGGGUAAGUCGGGACCUAAUCCGAGGCAUGGAGCGUAGGAGAUGGACAACUGGCAGAUAUUCCAGUACCGGUAAUGAUUGUUUGAGCGAUGGAGUGACACAGGAGGGCAGGCAGGCAGGAGAUUGGUUGUUCCUGUACAAGCGUGUAGGGUGGAACGUAGGCAAAUCCGCGUUCUGAGAGCCUGAGGUGUGACGUGGAGGUUCCGGAAACGGAACUGAAGCUGCUGACCCCACACUGUCGAGAAAAGCUUCUAGUUAGAGAAUUACCGCCCGUACCGUAAACCGACACAGGUAUGCGGGGAGAGAAUCCUAAGGUGCGCGGGAGAACCCUCGUUAAGGAACUCGGCAAAAUGUACCCGUAACUUCGGGAUAAGGGUAGCCGCUGUUGUGAAGUCUGAACAGACGGAGCAUGAGGCGGUCGCAGAGAAGAGGCCCAAGCGACUGUUUACCACAAACACAGGUGCCUGCUAAAGAGAAAUCUGACGUAUAGGUGCUGACACCUGCCCAGUGCCGGAAGGUUAAGGAAGGAUGUCCGGAGCAAUCCAAAGCAUUCGACCGAAGCCCCGGUGAACGGCGGCCGUAACUAUAACGGUCCUAAGGUAGCGAAAUUCCUUGUCGGGUAA
Molecule: ribosomal RNA, 1431 nt
Filed under: human gut metagenome
Description: bacterial LSU rRNA
Rfam family: Bacterial large subunit ribosomal RNA
Source: RNAcentral